Molecule: non-coding RNA, 850 nt
Organism: Pelobates cultripes (western spadefoot toad)
Lineage: Eukaryota; Metazoa; Chordata; Amphibia; Anura; Pelobatidae
Source: the annotation of a GenBank genome assembly
GGCCCAAUGGUAAGGUAACUAUGGCUAUAGAGAAAUUAGAUAGCCUCUCUGAUGAACUAAGAAAGAACUCAGGAGUCAUUGAUACCUGGGACAGAUGGUUUGGAUGGAUGAAUGGUUGGCAGAGAACCCUAUUCUAGGUUGGGACAGCAGUUCUCGUAAUGAUUGUGAUCUUCCUAUUUUUAACCUGUUGUGUACUUCCUUGUAUACAAAAGUACUUGCAGAAGACAGUAGGGAAGACUAUAGACAAUGUAACCCCUACUUUCCUACAUCAGGACGUCACUGACCUAGAAUGUGACACACCACAUACACCCCUCCAAUCCCACCAGUUUAAACAGACAACUGCUUUCCUGUAGGGAUAGCGUAGGGAAAGCGUCUGUCUCUACGGGCAAGUCUCACAUGUGAAGAUGUGGUGGACUAGUUAGUAAAAUGUCUAUUUACUCAUUUAACUGAAAUCAGUGUAUAAGCUAUUCACGCAUAUUUAGACAAAAUGGCCACUAGAAGCUUCUAACCCCUCCCUCCCUAUAACACCGACUAACUACCUCGUGCAACAAGAUGGCGCUGGAAUCCGUGGGAGACCCUCAUGGUUCCAGUGACAUCACCAUUAGUAGGCAGAGCAUUAGGAAGACCACUUAACACCUAACCAAUUAUUGAUGUAUUAUUUCAUGUUAUCUCUGACAAUGCUUAUGAUGUAAUUUUGCUUUAAAAGGGACCUGCCGUCCCCUCUGAAUAAACUUUUCUCAAGUUAUUCAACAACCUGAAAUCUGUGUCUGAAGAAUAAUCAAUUUAUUGAUUGAUUUCCAUUUCACCGGCCGCCCUCCAACUCCUGCCUGCUUUCCGACCUCGAUUUCAG